CCCCUUACCUGGCGGGGGACAGACUGUGGUCAGGAAGGGAGUUCUCCCUGGACGAGGCUAGUCCACCACUCUCCGGCUGCGCUGACCCCUGCGAUUUCCCCACACGCGGGGCCCUCCUCCGGGAUGCUGUUUGUGCUACCGGGCGACUGGGUUCGCAUUCUCUCCUG
Chlorocebus sabaeus (green monkey) is the source of this 167-nucleotide small nuclear RNA. Its record names the gene U1. It matches the Rfam family "U1 spliceosomal RNA". From Rfam's summary of the family: U1 is a small nuclear RNA (snRNA) component of the spliceosome (involved in pre-mRNA splicing). Its 5' end forms complementary base pairs with the 5' splice junction, thus defining the 5' donor site of an intron. The record is from Ensembl. NCBI's taxonomy places the organism in Eukaryota, Metazoa, Chordata, Mammalia, Primates, Cercopithecidae.